AUCGAAUGUGUAGUGCUUUUCGGAGUUACAAGAGACUAGGUGGACAAUCUAAGGGAACUAAAUUAACAUGGAUUCCAGCACAGUGUGCUCAACAACCGGGAUCACUAGAUUGUGGCUACUACGUCAUGCGUUUUAUGUACGACAUAAUAAUGAAUCAUGGUAAUAGUCAAGAUCUUACUAAGGAUUUUUCAAGAACAUUGCCUUAUUCACCGGAGGAGAUUAAUGAGGUGAAAGAUUUUUGGGCAAAUUACUUCAUGAACAAUGUCGAAUUUUUAGCUUAAUUUGUAAUAUGAACUUGAUCUCUAGCUAGCUACGUACCUUUGUUGUAAUAAUUUUAUGUUUGUUGUAACAUGUUGGUUGAUCGAUCU
Molecule: long non-coding RNA, 368 nt
Organism: Spinacia oleracea (spinach)
Lineage: Eukaryota; Viridiplantae; Streptophyta; Magnoliopsida; Caryophyllales; Amaranthaceae
Exons: 3
Source: RefSeq, a predicted model, not a curated record